UGACUCCUUUUUCUCUGCAAAAGAAGAAAAUAUUAUUUAUUCAUUCCUAGGCCUUGCUCCUCCACCAGGAUCAAAGGAAGGGUGGAUUACUGAGGAGACUGUGCCAAAUGGUGAAGUUUCUGGAGAAGAACACAGACCUGUGGAAGACACUGAAAUAUCUGAAGUUACUGAAGAGAAUGAAGAGCACACAGAAGACAACACAGAAGCAGUUGCUGAUUCUAUUGAAGAGCCAACAGUAGAACAAGAAGAGGAAGAAGCACAGGAAGAAGAGGAGGAAGAGG
This is a long non-coding RNA of Gekko japonicus, 281 nucleotides long. RefSeq lists it as uncharacterized. The record is from RefSeq and is a predicted model, not a curated record. The transcript has 4 exons. NCBI's taxonomy places the organism in Eukaryota, Metazoa, Chordata, Lepidosauria, Squamata, Gekkonidae.